AUUGAACGCUGGCGGCAGGCCUAACACAUGCAAGUCGAGCGGAUGAAGGGAGCUUGCUCCUGGAUUCAGCGGCGGACGGGUGAGUAAUGCCUAGGAAUCUGCCUGGUAGUGGGGGAUAACGUCCGGAAACGGGCGCUAAUACCGCAUACGUCCUGAGGGAGAAAGUGGGGGAUCUUCGGACCUCACGCUAUCAGAUGAGCCUAGGUCGGAUUAGCUAGUUGGUGGGGUAAAGGCCUACCAAGGCGACGAUCCGUAACUGGUCUGAGAGGAUGAUCAGUCACACCUGAACUGAGACACGGUCCCGACUCCUACGGGAGGCAGCAGUGGGGAAUAUUGGACAAUGGGCGAAAGCCUGAUCCAGCCAUGCCGCGUGUGUGAAGAAGGUCUUCGGAUUGUAAAGCACUUUAAGUUGGGAGGAAGGGCAGUAAGUUAAUACCUUGCUGUUUUGACGUUACCAACAGAAUAAGCACCGGCUAACUUCGUG
This 484-nucleotide ribosomal RNA is filed under the name uncultured bacterium. RNAcentral's name for it is "partial 16S ribosomal RNA". It matches the Rfam family "Bacterial small subunit ribosomal RNA", at positions 30 to 507 of the family's 1533-position model. The record is from RNAcentral.